RNAcentral lists this small RNA (916 nucleotides) under Arabidopsis thaliana (thale cress). Its description in RNAcentral is "ATSL274780". The record is from RNAcentral. Lineage: Eukaryota; Viridiplantae; Streptophyta; Magnoliopsida; Brassicales; Brassicaceae.
AUACAAUGAUUGAACAAGUAAUUUUGGGUCCGUAAUAUAGCCCAAAUCACAAAUAUGACCGAAAAAGUACUUAAAGGUCAAAAUUUGGGAUCGACAAAAAGUCAAUGAAAUUGUUCCAUUGUCCUGCUUCUUUCGUCGGAGGGCUCUCUUUACGCUUUCCGAAAAGGUAUCACAUGCCAAGUUUGGCCUCACGGUAUAUAAGUUAUAGAGUCAUAAAGUUUUAACCAAAAAAAACAAAUUAAAAAAAAAGAAGGAUGCAACACGAGGACUUCCCGGGAGGUCACCCAUCCUAGUACUACUCUCGCCCAAGCACGCUUAACUAAAGGUCAAAAUUUGGAGUCGACAAAAAAUCAAUGGAUAAGUUCCAUUGUCCUGCUUCUUUCAUCGGAAGGCUCUCUUUGGGCUUUCCGAAAAGGUAUCACAUGCCAAGUUUGGCUUGACGGUAUAAAAGUUAUAUAGUCAUAAAGUUUUAACAAAAAAAAAACAAAUUAAAAAAAAAGAGGGAUGCAACACGAGGACUUCUCGGGAGGUCACCCAUCCUAGUACUACUCUCGCCCAAGCACGCUUAACUAAAGGUCAAAAUUUGGAGUCGACAAAAACUCAAUACAUAUGUUCCAUUGUCCUGCUUCUUUCAUCUGAGGGCUCUCUUUGGCUUUCCGAAAAGGUAUCACAUGCCAAGUUUGGCCUCACUAUAUAAAAGUUAUAGAGUCAUAAAGUUUUAACCAAUGAAACAAAUUAAAAAAAACAGAGAGAUGCAACACGAGGACUUCCCGGGAGGUCACCCAUCCUAGUACUACUCUCGCCCAAGCACGCUUAACUGCGGAGUUCUGAUGGGAUCCAGUGUAUUAGUGUUAGUAUGAUCGCAUCCGUUAGUAUAUGGAAUGCAAUCGUAUAUAUUCUUUUUUGAAGACCUGAU